GGGACCAACUCCAUAUUAAUGCCCAUGAUUUUGGAAUCAGAUGUUCGAUGAGCAGGUGCCCACAUACAUUUGGUCAUGUAGUGUAACUCCUCCGGGGGGCACCUUAAAUCGCAGCAGUAAAUCCUGUCAGAACCAUCCAGGGUAAGCACAUUAGAAUUAAUUUCAGUCCAUAAAAGAAAUGUCACACUCUCUUUACUUCUUCAUAUCUUUUUGGGUUUCCGUUAAAGAGGGCCUCCCGGGUGGUGCAGUGGUCUAAGGCACUGCAUCGCAGUGUUAGCUGUGCCACCAGAGACCUCUGGGUUCGAGCCCAGGCUCUGUCGCAGCCGGCUGCGCCCGGGAGCCCAUGGAGCGGCGCACAAUUGGCCUAGCAUCGUCCGGGUUAGGGAGGGUUUGGCCGGCAGGGAUAUCCUUGACUCAUCGCACACUAAUGACUACUGUGGCGGGCCGGGCGCAGUGCAUGCUGACCAGGUCGCUAGGUGUACAGUGUUUCCUCCAACACAUUGGUGUGGCUGGCAUCCAGGUUGGAUGCGUGCUGUGUUAAGAAGCAGUGUGGCUUGGUUGGGUUGUGUUUCGGAGGACGCAUGGCUCUCGACCUUCACCUCUCCUGAGUCCGUGCGGGAGUUGUAGCGAUGAGACAAGACAAUAACUACUAACAAUUGGAUACCACAAAAUUGGGAAGAAAAAGGGGGUAAAAAAAUAUAUAUAUACCUUUGGGAAUGUUUUGUGUGAUGAAGGUGACGAUAGCUAGGGAAUAUUAUGAACAGUUAAAUGGUUACGUUCAAAAAGUAUGAGUAGUAUUAAAAAGCCGUUGACAAGUAAUCUAUGUUGGGUCAUUCUGAAGAUCUCAACGUUGGUUUGGUGUUGAGAGCUUCAACGGUGUAAGAAGAGAUUUUUCCCAUGUAAGGAUUCCAAAAGGGUUCUAGAUAGCACCACUUUUUCAAGAGUGUAGGGCCCUUUUAUUACCAUUGAAAUACAUUGGGAGCUAAUUUAAAUAUUGUUGUAGUACAAAAAGUAUAAAUGCUAUCAAAAAUAUUUUCAUGUCAAUAGCUUAAAUCAUGUAAGCAGUAGAGAGGGCUAAAUAAAUGGACUAAUAAGACUAUGAGAGAAAUCUAGAGUUGUGCUUUGCUUUCAGCAAGGCAGCAGGCUAGUCAGCAUCCAUAAUUCAAAUACUAAUAAUAAUAUUUAAUUUGUAGAGCACAUUUCCCACGCUCA
Molecule: long non-coding RNA, 1212 nt
Filed under: Salmo salar (Atlantic salmon)
Lineage: Eukaryota; Metazoa; Chordata; Actinopteri; Salmoniformes; Salmonidae
Description: lncRNA (ENSSSAG00000083610.1)
Source: RNAcentral